UGACCUCAAAUCAGGUAGGACUACCCGCUGAACUUAAGCAUAUCAAUAAGCGGAGGAAAAGAAACCAACCGGGAUUGCCUCAGUAACGGCGAGUGAAGCGGCAAAAGCUCAAAUUUGAAAUCUGCGUAAGCCGAGUUGUAAUUUGAAGAUGGCUACUUUGGUAAUGGCUCUUGUCUAUGUUCCUUGGAACAGGACGUCACAGAGGGUGAGAAUCCCGUGCGAUGAGAUGUCCAUUACCGUGUAAAGUGCUUUCGAAGAGUCGAGUUGUUUGGGAAUGCAGCUCUA
RNAcentral lists this ribosomal RNA (285 nucleotides) under Fermentozyma sake. Its description in RNAcentral is "[Candida] sake partial 28S ribosomal RNA". It matches the Rfam family "Eukaryotic large subunit ribosomal RNA", at positions 1 to 290 of the family's 3401-position model. Lineage: Eukaryota; Fungi; Ascomycota; Pichiomycetes; Serinales; Debaryomycetaceae. The record is from RNAcentral.